RNAcentral lists this ribosomal RNA (587 nucleotides) under uncultured bacterium. RNAcentral's name for it is "partial 16S ribosomal RNA". It matches the Rfam family "Bacterial small subunit ribosomal RNA", at positions 355 to 1375 of the family's 1533-position model. The record is from RNAcentral.
UGGGGAAUUUUGGACAAUGGGCGAAAGCCUGAUCCAGCAAUGCCGCGUGUGUGAAGGAGGCCUUCGGGUUGUAAAGCACUUUUGUCCGGAAAGAAAUCCUCUGGGUUAAUACCUCGGGGGGAGUGACGGUACCGGAAGAAUAAGCACCGGCUAACUACGUGCCAGCAGCCGCGGUAAUACGUAGGGUGCAAGCGUUAAUCGGAAUUACUGGGCGUAAAGCGUGCGCAGGCGGUUUGCUAAGACCGAUGUGAAAUCCCCGGGCUCAACCUGGGAACUGCAUUGGUGACUGGCAGGCUAGAGUAUGGCAGAGGGGGGUAGAAUUCCACGUGUAGCAGUGAAAUGCGUAGAGAUGUGGAGGAAUACCGAUGGCGAAGGCAGCCCCCUGGGCCAAUACUGACGCUCAUGCACGAAAGCGUGGGGAGCAAACAGGAUUAGAUACCCUGGUAGUCCACGCCCUAAACGAUGUCAACUAGUUGUUGGGGGGUUCAUUUCCUUAGUAACGUAGCUAACGCGUGAAGUUGACCGCCUGGGGAGUACGGUCGCAAGAUUAAAACUCAAAUGAAUUGACGGGGUCAUAGCUGUUUCCU